Molecule: microRNA precursor, 58 nt
Filed under: Tupaia belangeri chinensis (Chinese tree shrew)
Lineage: Eukaryota; Metazoa; Chordata; Mammalia; Scandentia; Tupaiidae
Description: Tupaia chinensis (Chinese tree shrew) microRNA tch-mir-194 precursor
Gene: tch-mir-194
Rfam family: mir-194 microRNA precursor family
About the family: The hairpin precursors (represented here) are predicted based on base pairing and cross-species conservation -- their extents are not known. In this case the mature sequence is excised from the 5' arm of the hairpin.
Source: miRBase by way of RNAcentral
UGUAACAGCAACUCCAUGUGGAAGUGUCUGCUGGUUCCAGUGGGGCUGCUGUUAUCUG